AUUGUAUUUCAGGUCAAUGAAAAUUUUGGAGGGAUGAAGAACGGAAGACAGGCGAGCUAACGCUGCUGUGUUCUUUCACGAUCCAGAAAUCUUGUUUCUGUUAUUGCAAUUUCCAAGUUUGAUCGAGCGCUGAAGUUCAUACAAACUAUUAGCUUAUCCAUCUGAUCAAAGAAGGUCGUGGAAUUAUGAAAAAUCUGUUCGUAUGCUGAAUGUUAAGGGUUUAUGGAAAUUUGCGCCAGUCGUGAUGGUACUAGUAUGCUGUGUUCUUCAGGGACGAAGGUUUUGAUGGUAGAAACAUUGAUAAGACGUUUGAGAAGUGUAGGCGUUUGGAAGCUAUGCAGGAUGAAAGAGCUUCUGAAAACUGGGAAUAUUUGGA
Molecule: long non-coding RNA, 376 nt
Organism: Cucurbita moschata (crookneck pumpkin)
Lineage: Eukaryota; Viridiplantae; Streptophyta; Magnoliopsida; Cucurbitales; Cucurbitaceae
Exons: 2
Source: RefSeq, a predicted model, not a curated record